Oxyura jamaicensis (ruddy duck) is the source of this 1971-nucleotide long non-coding RNA. RefSeq lists it as uncharacterized. Lineage: Eukaryota; Metazoa; Chordata; Aves; Anseriformes; Anatidae. The transcript is spliced from 4 exons. The record is from RefSeq and is a predicted model, not a curated record.
GGGAUCCCACCCCACCUGCUGCCCAUGGCAGAGGCUCCAUUUAAACUCAGGUGUGCAGCCCCCCAUCUUUAGCAGGCUGUGCUGUAAGCCUGUCUCUUCCUUGUCUUGCUCUCUGCUGUUCAUUGCUUGGGGUGUUAGUUGAGUAUCUGAUAACUGCCAAAACAGAAGGUACGAAAUGUGGAGAUGCAUGCUCUGUCUGGAAGGCUUCAAAAGACCAGUUCCUGGGUUCUGCCACUACCCUAGAGAAAUGCCUGUGUACUUAUUCGCUCUUGGAAACAACAAAUUGCUGUCUGAAGCCAAGGGAGUCCCUGCCUCUGUCUGCUACAGUACCAUAUCUCUUGCAUUGAAGAAAAAUCUUCAUCCACUGUGAAGCCAUGUUGUGCAGCUCCCAUAGACUUGCCCUGACCAUUGAAUUGUGUUAUUUUAAUGAUGCUGUAGUAUCUCCAAAGGCCUAUUUAAAUCCAUUUACCUGUUAGGCUGAAUUUUGGGGGGAGACUGCAAAUAUAUGGGGGAGGGUGGGAUCUGAAGUCUACACAAGACUGAGAAGCAAGAUCUUUUUUCCCUAAUCAAAUGCAUGUGAUGCAGUCGUUUAGAAGGAAUCAGGAACUGCACUGUCUGCAGAUGAAUGUAUGUGCGGCCGGACACGAUGGAUGACAAAGUUUACAUUGAAUUUGUGUUGUGUGCUUUAGAGAAUAUAUCUAUCUGAAAUGUAAAUACUAGAGAAUUCAGAUAUUUGCUCUCUACAAGCAGAUUUUGUGUAAAAACAAAGAAAUCAACUUGAAGUAAUGUUGCAAGUGAUCAAUUAUCAACUGCUGUAUGCAGAUCAUGUCCUGGUUGUGAAGCAGUACUCUUAAUUCUUCCUCGGAAUAGUUUUUUAAGAAGAAAGCCACCCGAUAAGGUGUGUACAUGUUUUACAGUACAUAUUUGCUGUUAAUUCUGAUUUGUAUAUUGUGUAAUAUACAUGGUUUUCUUUUCAAGAGGAUUAUUUUUGUGGCUUCAGGGUACUUAGACAAAGUCAGCUUUUUCGAGGAAGUGCGAUAACAUGUAUGAAAGGGAAAUAAAGGCAACAUCAGCAAAUGAGUUUGCUGCUCGGUCCUUUUGAAGAGUGUUUCAUGUUCUUGUCUUGAGAAGAAUUUCAUUGUUACCCAGAGAAGGUUCAAUUAUGAGAAAAGAGCAGAUGGUCUCCAAGAAACUUUGUGCUGUGGAUUGAAGACGAGAAUUUUCAGUCAGUAUGGGGUGUUUUUUGCUAGUCUCACUGGGCCUCUGAUUGCAAAAUUAGCAAAAUUGUUUGAAAUAUGUUGUGUCCUUAUUAUUUCCGGUGCUUUUUGUUAGAAUAGCAGAUGCCAGUGGUGACAAUAAUUGAAGGAAGAAUUAAUCUUUCAGCAGACACUUUGAUUUGGUCAAAAAGUACUUGAAAGUUUUCUAAAACAUUUUUUUUUUACCUUUCAUCAAAGAAAAGUAAUCUUAUUCAUGUUUUGCAAAUUGGACUAAUUUCAUUGACUUUUCUGGUGAGAAUACAGGGACCUUUUGAACUGGAUUUUGAGGGAUUCCAAACUUUCCACUUGUUUGCAGAAUGUCUGAAAGCUAAUUCUUGCUUCAGCAUUUUUAUCUCUUUCUUAAAUGGACAUUGCAGAUGUGUCCAUUUUGAGGCGACUUUUGGAGUAGACUUUCUUGUAAUGAAAAUUUCAUUGUCUUGUUUUUCUUUGGAAUUUUUAGAACUCCCCAGACAAUUUUGCACAGGAAAAGAGUAUCUGAUUUAUAACUAGCCAUCUUAUUUUUUUAUUUUUAACUUCUUAACUGUCUUCUCAGCAUUACCUUUCAAGUGAAUAUAUGCUUCAAUUGCAGAAAGAAAUAAAAUCAGUACUUUAUGGGGAAAAUGAAUUCCUACUUUUUCUGCCUUCUUAGACAGAACUGAAGUAUUUUAUGGCGUGGGCUUUUAGGGUUUACUCUCUCCAUUUUUUAAACUUUUUA